RNAcentral lists this ribosomal RNA (460 nucleotides) under uncultured bacterium. Its description in RNAcentral is "partial 16S ribosomal RNA". It matches the Rfam family "Bacterial small subunit ribosomal RNA", at positions 338 to 795 of the family's 1533-position model. The record is from RNAcentral.
CCUACGGGUGGCUGCAGUGAGGAAUAUUGGUCAAUGGACGAGAGUCUGAACCAGCCAAGCAGCGUGAAGGAUGACGGCCCUAUGGGUUGUAAACUUCUUUUAUAUGGGAAUAAAUCAGGGUACGCGUACCCUCAUGUAUGUACCACAUGAAUAAGGAUCGGCAAAAUCCGUGCCAGCAGCCGCGGUAAUACGGAGGAUCCGAGCGUUAUCCGGAUUUAUUGGGUUUAAAGGGAGGGUAGGUGGAUUGUUAAGUCAGUGGUGAAAGUGCGCGGCUCAAACGGCAAAUUGCAGUUGAAACUGGCAGUCUUGAGUGCAGGAGAGGUGGGCGGAAUUCGUGGUGUAGCGGUGAAAUGCUUAGAUAUCACGAAGAACUCCGAUUGCGAAGGCAGCUCACUGGACUGCAACUGACGCUGAUGCACGAAAGCGUGGGUAUCAAACAGGAUUAGAUACCCUAGUAGUC